GUGAGGAAUAUUGGACAAUGGGCGCAAGCCUGAUCCAGCCAUGCCGCGUGCAGGAAGACGCAUCUAUGGUGUGUAAACUGCUUUUGUACGGGAAGAAACACUCCCUCGUGAGGGAGCUUGACGGUACCGUAAGAAUAAGGAUCGGCUAACUUCGUGCCAGCAGCCGCGGUAAUACGGAGGAUCCAAGCGUUAUCCGGAAUCAUUGGGUUUAAAGGGUCCGUAGGCGGUUUAAUAAGUCAGUGGUGAAAGCCCAUCGCUCAACGAUGGAACGGCCAUUGAUACUGUUAGACUUGAAUUACAAGGAAGUAACUAGAAUAUGUAGUGUAGCGGUGAAAUGCUUAGAUAUUACAUGGAAUACCAAUUGCGAAGGCAGGUUACUACUUGUGGAUUGACGCUGAUGGACGAAAGCGUGGGGAGCGAACAGGAUUAGAUACCCCGGUAGUCC
Molecule: ribosomal RNA, 445 nt
Filed under: uncultured bacterium
Lineage: Bacteria
Description: partial 16S ribosomal RNA
Rfam family: Bacterial small subunit ribosomal RNA
Source: RNAcentral